CCUACGGGUGGCAGCAGUGGGGAAUAUUGGGCAAUGGGCGCAAGCCUGACCCAGCAACGCCGCGUGAAGGAAGAAGGCUUUCGGGUUGUAAACUUCUUUUCUCAGGGACGAAGCAAGUGACGGUACCUGAGGAAUAAGCCACGGCUUACUACGUGCCAGCAGCCGUGGUAAUACGUAGGCGGCAAGCGUUAUACGGAUUUACUGGGUGGAAAGGGCGUGUAGGCGGGACUGUAAGUCAGAUGUGAAAACCACGGGCUCAACCUGUGGCCUGCAUUUGAAACUGUAGUUCUUGAGUGCUGGAGAGGCAGGCGGAAUUCCUAGUGUAGCGGUGAAAUGCGUAGAUAUUAGGAGGAACACCAGUGGCGAAGGCGGUCUGCUGGACAGCAACUGACGCUGAGGCGCGAAAGCGUGGGGAGCAAACAGGAUUAGAUACCCCUGUAGUC
Molecule: ribosomal RNA, 443 nt
Filed under: uncultured bacterium
Lineage: Bacteria
Description: partial 16S ribosomal RNA
Rfam family: Bacterial small subunit ribosomal RNA
Source: RNAcentral